Molecule: ribosomal RNA, 1023 nt
Filed under: Lotharella globosa
Lineage: Eukaryota; Cercozoa; Chlorarachniophyceae
Description: partial Eukaryotic large subunit ribosomal RNA
Rfam family: Eukaryotic large subunit ribosomal RNA
Source: RNAcentral
GCAGAUCUUGGUGGUAGUAGCAAAAAUUCAAGCGAGAGCCUUGAGGACUGGAGUGGAGAAGGGUUCCAUGCGAACAGCGAUUGGACAUGGGUGAGUCGAUCCUAAGAGAUUGGGUAAUUCCGUGAGAGAAGCACUAAACUGGUGCUAUCCAUCGAAAGGGAAACGGGUUAAUAUUCCCGUACCAAGCAGCGGAGUUUGUGCGGUAACGCAAAUGAACUCGGAAACAUCGGCAAAGGCCCUGGGGAGAGUUCUCUUUUCUAUUUAACAGUUCCGACAGCCGUGGAAACGAGUUAUUCGGAGAAGCGGGGGCGCGACUGGCAGAACAGUGCCUUCGUGCAUUGUCCGGUGUGCUUUUGUCGAUCCUUGAAAAACCGAGGGAAAAUAAAACUCUCGUCCUUGAUCGUACCCAAAACCGCAUCAGGUCUCCAAGGUGAGUAGCCUCUAGUCGAUAGAUCAAAGUAGGUAAGGGAAUUCGGCAAAUUAGAUCCGUAACUUCGGGAUAAGGAUUGGCUCUGAUUGUUGCGUGCACGGCUACCGCUGCGGACGUGCGUAGUUAUGUACUUCAAAGCUGUGCAAAUACCGAGCGAUAUCUACACAAGGAGUGGGGGUAACCAUCGGGGUUAGCGGCAGUGUUUCUAUCUAACCAUCCCCCCGUCGGUAUUCGGAUCGGCCCCCGGAUGUAACGCGUCCCGCGCACGGGCGCGAGGGCGAUGCCACGGAUGGGCGUGGCAGAUGGCUGAACCCAUCCUGUUGCUACGCGUGUAUGACACAACCGGGCGCGGCCCCUCCUAUACCAUGGUACCUCCGCGGGUGUCUCGGAACACGCAUCUGCUCUGGAAACUGGGAUCCGUGCAUGCGACUAUAUUAGAACUGGCGCGGACAACGGGAGUCCGACUGUUUACUAAAAACGUAGCAUCGUGAUGGUCCCUGCGGAUGUUGACACGAUGUGAAUCCUGCCCAGUGCUCUGUCCGUCAAUCCAGAGAAAUCCAGGCAAGCAUGGGUAAACGGCGGGAGUAACUAUG